Long non-coding RNA from Salvelinus namaycush (lake trout), 442 nucleotides. RefSeq lists it as uncharacterized. Lineage: Eukaryota; Metazoa; Chordata; Actinopteri; Salmoniformes; Salmonidae. The record is from RefSeq and is a predicted model, not a curated record. The transcript has 3 exons.
GCACGCUACGCUGUCCUGAACUGGAUUUACGUCGUCCCGCCAACCAGCAGACAUUUCAGAAAUAACGGUAUUUAUCUUAGAGGAUCGUAUCAGAGGGCUGGAAAGGACAAAACAUCUAUAGGAAUCAGAACCAAAUUCAGAGUCUAGCGCGGACCAGCAGGAGGCCAGUGCGGCUCCACAACUGGAGGCGGACUCUUUUCCCCCGGCUGCCGCCCACAGCACGCCUGUCAGGAAAGAGCAGAACGGCGACGAGAGAGCGGAGGGAGACGUGGUCCCACAGGGGAAUCAGCUGGAGCCAUCGCAGGCGGAGGAGGACAGGACCUCGUACAGGUCGUCCACCAGUAAGCUGUCCAGGUCUCCCGGUGGAGGACGGAGUGUCCGCAGCUCCAGGAACAUGCAGUGCAAGGUCACCCUGCUCGAUGGCUCCGUCUACACCUGCGUG